GUCUGUGGCCAUGCCACCCUGAAGGCGCCCGAUCCUGUCUGAUCGAGGAAGCUAAGCAGGGUAGGGCUUGGUUAGUACUUGGAUGGGAGACCACCUAGGAAGACUGGGUGCUGUAGGCA
Molecule: ribosomal RNA, 119 nt
Filed under: Pteropus alecto (black flying fox)
Lineage: Eukaryota; Metazoa; Chordata; Mammalia; Chiroptera; Pteropodidae
Source: RNAcentral